RNAcentral lists this ribosomal RNA (370 nucleotides) under uncultured bacterium. RNAcentral describes it as "bacterial SSU rRNA". It matches the Rfam family "Bacterial small subunit ribosomal RNA", at positions 527 to 896 of the family's 1533-position model. The record is from RNAcentral.
AGAGGUCUCAACCGUUGUUCGGAUUCAUUGGGCGUAAAGGGUGCGUAGGCGGUCGCGCAAGUCGGAUGUGAAAUCUCAGGGCUCAACCCUGAAACUGCAUUCGAUACUGCGUGGCUAGAGUGCUGGAGAGGAGACUGGAAUUUACGGUGUAGCAGUGAAAUGCGUAGAUAUCGUAAGGAAGACCAGUGGCGAAGGCGAGUCUCUGGACAGCAACUGACGCUGAGGCACGAAGGCCAGGGGAGCAAACGGGAUUAGAUACCCCGGUAGUCCUGGCAGUAAACGGUGCACGUUUGGUGUAGGCGGAUUCGACCCCGCCUGUGCCGGASUAACGCGUUAAACGUGCCGCCUGGGAAGUACGGUCGCAAGAUUA